Molecule: long non-coding RNA, 2435 nt
Organism: Gallus gallus (chicken)
Lineage: Eukaryota; Metazoa; Chordata; Aves; Galliformes; Phasianidae
Exons: 4
Source: RefSeq, a predicted model, not a curated record
AUAUAAAGAAAUGAUUUAUGAGAAGUGUUUCAUUAGUGACCACCACUGGAGUUGGGCAGUAAAGCAGAAGAGAUGCUACUGUAUCAAGAAUAUAUGCCAUAGGCUUGGCUCUGCACCUGAGUUUGUGUGAGCACACACUUACAACCUUCAGAAUGAGGCAGUUUUUCCUCUGUUUGUCCUUCAGGUAAUUCCACUACAUGUUUCACUCAUGGGGUUCACUAGCCUGGUCUGCUCUUGGAGCCAUCUUUGAAUAAAUUGGAGCAUCUCCACUAACAUCAACAGAGAUUAAGGUUUACAGCCAUUUGGGUGGAGUUAGCACGGUCCUGCCAUCCUCCAGAAAGCUGGUGUUGGAUACGAGGUCAUCUGUCACCACGAGACAGCCUGACAUCUCCUGAGGCUGCAUGGUUGGGAGAGAUGUGGACAGAAGAACAAGCUGUUCUGCUUCAGUUCACUGAAGCAAAUUUAUGAUGCAGGCACCAAAGCCAGCUCAGUCCUGAAAUGAAUCUGCUGCUUUACAAAAAGCAAAGGUGUUGGGGCUGUGCUCUGCUAUAGGGAAAUCCAGAAUGGGUGCAUUCAUUGUCUGCCCUCAGCAGUGCUUUAUCCAGGUGACCUCUGUCCCUUUUCCUGCUGAUGUACUCCACUUGCAGCAUCACUUGAAUAAUUUCAGUAUCCUGUCUGAGGAGUUCUCUUGCUGAAGUUUUCCCUUAUUUGCCUUUGUAUUGUCUCCCCCCACCUCUCUCUUUGUGGAUGAUGUCAAGAGAAGCUAUUUUCCUCUCUCUGUUGCAGUUGAUGCCGAUGCUUUUUCAGGAGCCCAAGGGAUGCUGAGAAAAAUGAGAAAAGUUACAGAAAAAGCACUUUUAUGUAAUGUAUCUCCAUGCUGGGUGGAGAUCUCUGGUGUGCCUGAUCCGAGGGGAAGAGGUUAUCCAUGCGCUGCUCAGCGAUGCUCUGUUCCCCUUUCCAUUGCUCUCUGUUCAGCACAUUCCUGGUGGGGGUGAUGCCAACUUGUCACGAGUCACAUCUAUGUACAUCUCAUAAAGGAAAUCUGUUAGCAGCCAAUACUUUUCACUGAACUCUGUGAGAUUUUCUUCUUUUAACUUUGAAGUCUUUUAAUUCUCAGAUGCUGUCCCCUGUAGCAGAUUGGUAAAUAAGCAGCUCCAGGUUUUCUAGGCUGAUCUCUUUGAGGUACAGCACUCAGGGUAGAGCGUUUGUACAAAAGAGAACAUCUUUGUUUUGCUUUCUGAUUUAUGGUAGUCCUUGCAAGCCAAAUUCUACUUAGGUUAGAGAGGUAUGGUGGAGAAAAUUGCUGAAGAAGGCAGCCUUUCGGGACAAGUUAGAAAUAAAUAUUUCAUAUAAAUGUUAAUGUUUGUUCUUGCCUCAACUGUGAAAUGGGUGUGAUUGUCCCAUAAUUUAGAGAGAAUAAAAUUAAAUAGGUUGAAAAAGGUACAUACGCAUACUAUAGACUUUGCUUGCAGCUGCAGCAGGCACUGAAGGAUCUUUAUAGACCUUUGUUCAGUCCUUUAGGCCCAACUGGCUCUGUCUGAAAGUGGCUGCGGUCAGAUCCAUCAAAGCAGCUUGCAGGAAACCCCACAAUAAUUCCUGCCUCAAAGGAAUAAUAUUUCUUUCAGCUUCCCCUUCUGGUUAGAGGCUGGUUUGCAUUAUGGUACAUCAGCAGGUACAGGGAACACUGUGUAUUUAAACUAUCUUUGAUCUCUCCCAUUGAUCUCAGUUUAAAUCGGUGUAGUGACAGCAAGAAGUGAGGCUGUUGUGGUUUUUUGUUUGUUUUUGUGUUUUAACUUCUUUUAAUGCUCUAUGUGAGUUGUUUGGUGAUGGGGGCAUGGACUAAUUGGCCAAAAAAAUAGUAGCAGACCUGACAAAUCAGUUUAUUGCUAUCUGGAGUGGCAUUAUGGCUCUGAACACUGAAAGGCAGCUCUCUGAAUCACUGUCAGGUUGCUGCAGUAGAGAAGCUACUUACUAGGGCAAAACAGUAGUUCAUUGUAAUGCCUGGGUAGACUUUAUUUAGAGACCUGAGAGUCUCAUUUCAUGUACAGCAACAUUUCAAGGGGUAAAAAGACUACAUUUAUAUGGCUAUUUUAUUAAAAUUUAUGCUGGCAUUGCAGUGUUGGAGCUCCAGUGGAAGCUGAGUUAGCUCUUUCAUUCAAAGUCAUGGUUCAGGCUGCUCAUAACUUAGUAAAAAAUUACCUCUGAAGAAGAGGUUUCUUGUUCUGGAUCUCAGCCUGCCUUGUUCUUUUAAGUGCUUCAGGACUGCUCUGUGCUAUCAUGUGUUUUCAGGAGAUGGAAGAAAGUGUUUUGCUGGUGAGGCUUUCCUUGUAUUUAAGGCUUGAUCCUAUUUUAUUUUCCUUAGCUAUCGCAGAGAUUUGGGCUGGGGCUUUUGCUCCUCCUGUAGGGAAGAGUGACUCUCUGCCCAGAAAGGGCAG